GAAUGCUGACAUAAGUAACGAUAAAGCGGGUGAAAAGCCCGCUCGCCGGAAGACCAAGGGUUCCUGUCCAACGUUAAUCGGGGCAGGGUGAGUCGACCCCUAAGGCGAGGCCGAAAGGCGUAGUCGAUGGGAAACGGGUUAAUAUUCCCGUACUUGGUGUUACUGCGAAGGGGGGACGGAGAAGGCUAUGUUGGCCGGGCGACGGUUGUCCCGGUUUAAGCGUGUAGGUGUGUGUUCCAGGUAAAUCCGGUUCACUUUAACACUGAGGCGUGACGACGAGGCACUACGGUGCUGAAGCAACAAAUGCCCUGCUUCCAGGAAAAGCCUCUAAGCAUCAGGUAACAUCAAAUCGUACCCCAAACCGACACAGGUGGUCAGGUAGAGAAUACCAAGGCGCUUGAGAGAACUCGGGUGAAGGAACUAGGCAAAAUGGUGCCGUAACUUCGGGAGAAGGCACGCUGACACGUAGGUGAAGUGAUUUACUCAUGGAGCUGAAGUCAGUCGAAGAUACCAGCUGGCUGCAACUGUUUAUUAAAAACACAGCACUGUGCAAACACGAAAGUGGACGUAUACGGUGUGACGCCUGCCCGGUGCCGGAAGGUUAAUUGAUGGGGUCAGCGCAAGCGAAGCUCCUGAUCGAAGCCCCGGUAAACGGCGGCCGUAACUAUAACGGUCCUAAGGUAGCGAAAUUCCUUGUCGGGUAAGUUCCGACCUGCACGAAUGGCGUAAUGAUGGCCAGGCUGUCUCCACCCGAGACUCAGUGAAAUUGAACUCGCUGUGAAGAUGCAGUGUACCCGCGGCAAGACGGAAAGACCCCGUGAACCUUUACUAUAGCUUGACACUGAACAUUGAGCCUUGAUGUGUAGGAUAGGUGGGAGGCUUUGAAGUGUGGACGCCAGUCUGCAUGGAGCCGACCUUGAAAUACCACCCUUUAAUGUUUGAUGUUCUAACGUGGACCCGUGAUCCGGGUUGCGGACAGUGUCUGGUGGGUAGUUUGACUGGGGCGGUCUCCUCCUAAAGAGUAACGGAGGAGCACGAAGGUUGGCUAAUCCUGGUCGGACAUCAGGAGGUUAGUGCAAUGGCAUAAGCCAGCUUGACUGCGAGCGUGACGGCGCGAGCAGGUGCGAAAGCAGGUCAUAGUGAUCCGGUGGUUCUGAAUGGAAGGGCCAUCGCUCAACGGAUAAAAGGUAC
This 1191-nucleotide ribosomal RNA is filed under the name Salmonella enterica. Its description in RNAcentral is "partial 23S ribosomal RNA". It matches the Rfam family "Bacterial large subunit ribosomal RNA", at positions 1292 to 2466 of the family's 2925-position model. Lineage: Bacteria; Pseudomonadati; Pseudomonadota; Gammaproteobacteria; Enterobacterales; Enterobacteriaceae. The record is from RNAcentral.